GCCCCGCGCGCGCCCCGCGCCGCCGGUAACGAGCGCGGGGCCGGUAACGGAACCCCGCGGGAGCGGCUGCGGAAUGGCGGCAGCUCGGCCCCGUCCCCUCGGGCCGGGGGUUAGGGUGUGUCCGCAGACCCCGGACACCCCCCCGGGCCGGCUCUGCGGGCGGGCGGGGCUCUGAGCACGUCACGGGCCCGGGGACCGGACCGGCCGCGGCACAGCCCCCGGUCACCCCGAUCUCGAGGUCCCUGGGGAGACUGAGGCAGCAGCAAUUCCAGCAGACAAGUGUUGAGAACAACAUCAGAUGAUGCCGAACUCUGAGUGGUGGUGAGAGAACAUAAGUGAGUACAAGGAAUGAAUUUUGCUAAACCUGGGUGCUACCUGCACUGCCAAGCCUUUCAAUAAAGUUUUUGAUGGAUCAAUAGAUC
Long non-coding RNA from Vidua chalybeata, 422 nucleotides. RefSeq lists it as uncharacterized. Lineage: Eukaryota; Metazoa; Chordata; Aves; Passeriformes; Viduidae. The transcript has 3 exons. The record is from RefSeq and is a predicted model, not a curated record.